UCUCCAGUGGCUCAAUGGUAAAGAAUCUGCCUGUAAUGCAGGAGAUACAGGUUCGAUCCCUGGGUGGGAAA
This 71-nucleotide transfer RNA is filed under the name Ovis aries (sheep). It matches the Rfam family "tRNA". From Rfam's summary of the family: Transfer RNA (tRNA) molecules are approximately 80 nucleotides in length. Their secondary structure includes four short double-helical elements and three loops (D, anti-codon, and T loops). Lineage: Eukaryota; Metazoa; Chordata; Mammalia; Artiodactyla; Bovidae. The record is from Rfam by way of RNAcentral.